GGCGUGGUAGCAAAAUGGUUAUGCAGCUGCCUGCAGAGCAGCUAUAUGUGGGUUCGACUCCCAUCCACGCCU
Molecule: transfer RNA, 72 nt
Filed under: Candidatus Kerfeldbacteria bacterium RIFOXYA2_FULL_38_24
Lineage: Bacteria; Candidatus Kerfeldiibacteriota
Also listed under: 2 other names
Description: tRNA-Cys
Rfam family: tRNA
About the family: Transfer RNA (tRNA) molecules are approximately 80 nucleotides in length. Their secondary structure includes four short double-helical elements and three loops (D, anti-codon, and T loops). Further hydrogen bonds mediate the characteristic L-shaped molecular structure. tRNAs have two regions of fundamental functional importance: the anti-codon, which is responsible for specific mRNA codon recognition, and the 3' end, to which the tRNAs corresponding amino acid is attached (by aminoacyl-tRNA synthetases). tRNAs cope with the degeneracy of the genetic code in two manners: having more than one tRNA (with a specific anti-codon) for a particular amino acid; and 'wobble' base-pairing, i.e. permitting non-standard base-pairing at the 3rd anti-codon position.
Source: RNAcentral